UCCCCCUAACUCAGAACCUUGCAGAGGGAUUUGAAGUUGCUCUGACAGUGGAGCGGCUGGUAGUGCGGGGUUGUUAUGUUGCAUAGUUUGAAUAGCAGCAAUCAAAUUUGGACUUGCUGGACUAGUAAGUUGAACUGUUCCAUGUUGACUAUCAUUUCUGACCAGGGAGAGCCUCCGAUGGUGGCACUUGGGCCUGCGGGUUGGUAGAAUUUUUCAUUGGUUGGGAGCUAGCAGCAUUAGAAUGGUGGGAGGAUGCUCUUUUACAUGGUUCCAUAAUGUAGACCCCUUGUUUCUUCUAAAAAAAAUAGGUUCCAGGGUCGUCCUUCCUCUAAUGCCAAUAUGUUGUUGGAGAUUCUUGACUUCGAUCGGAGUGGUUGGAGAUAGCUGGUUACCUAUAAAACAAGUUUCGAUCGGAGUUCACUCUGGUGGGGAUCCUCCAACAGUCAAGUUAGAAAAUUGCAACAGAUGAGAAAGAGAGCGAGAGGGGUAGAGGGCAUGCAUAUAUGCGUACCUGGAGGAUUUUUUUUUUACCUCUAUUUAUAGGGAGGUGAGAGCCAUAAGAGGAAAAAUAAUGGAAGACCAUUCUAACUUCUUCGUUCGUACCACUCGAGAUGUCCGAAUUCAUGAAA
This 629-nucleotide long non-coding RNA is filed under the name Elaeis guineensis (African oil palm). Its description in RNAcentral is "long non-coding RNA (EGUI_LNC024046)". The record is from RNAcentral. Lineage: Eukaryota; Viridiplantae; Streptophyta; Magnoliopsida; Arecales; Arecaceae.